GUGGACCACUUGACACUGCGGUGCUUCCGCGCCGUCCGCACCCCGCUGGUGACUGCUCGCGACGUUUUGCCAGCC
This 75-nucleotide small RNA is filed under the name Xanthomonas arboricola. RNAcentral's name for it is "sRNA sX9". It matches the Rfam family "Xanthomonas sRNA sX9". Lineage: Bacteria; Pseudomonadati; Pseudomonadota; Gammaproteobacteria; Lysobacterales; Lysobacteraceae. The record is from RNAcentral.